RNAcentral lists this ribosomal RNA (301 nucleotides) under uncultured bacterium. RNAcentral's name for it is "partial 16S ribosomal RNA". It matches the Rfam family "Bacterial small subunit ribosomal RNA", at positions 509 to 809 of the family's 1533-position model. The record is from RNAcentral.
CAGUAGCCGCGGGAACACGUAGGGUGCGAGCGUUAAUCGGAAUUACUGGGCGUAAAGCGUGCGCAGGCGGUUGUGUAAGACAGGUGUGAAAUCCCCGGGCUUAACCUGGGAACUGCGCUUGUGACUGCACAGCUAGAGUAUGGCAGAGGGGGGUGGAAUUCCACGUGUAGCAGUGAAAUGCGUAGAGAUGUGGAGGAACACCGAUGGCGAAGGCAGCCCCCUGGGCCAAUACUGACGCUCAUGCACGAAAGCGUGGGGAGCAAACAGGAUUAGAUACCCCCGUAGUCCCUGUCUCUUAUAA